RNAcentral lists this long non-coding RNA (1387 nucleotides) under Coturnix japonica (Japanese quail). Its description in RNAcentral is "lncRNA (ENSCJPG00005003435.1)". The record is from RNAcentral. Lineage: Eukaryota; Metazoa; Chordata; Aves; Galliformes; Phasianidae.
UAUGGGGAUCCUAUGGGGUCUGAGGGGGUCUUAUGGGGGUCCUAUGGGGUCUGAGAGGGUUUUAUGGGGAUCCUAUGGGGUCUGAGGGGGUCUUAUGGGGGUCCUAUGGGGUCUGAGAGGGUUUUAUGGGGGUCCUAUGGGGUCUGAGGGGGUCUUAUGGGAGUCCUAUGGGGUCCCAUGGGGGUCCUAUGGGGUCUGAGAGGGUCUUAUGGGGGUCCUAUGAAGUCCUAUGGGGUCUGAGGGGGUCUUAUGGGGGUCCUAUGGGGUCUUAUGGGGUCUGAGGGGGUUUUAUGGGGAUCCUAUGGGGUCCUAUGGGGUCUGAGAGGGUCUUAUGGGGGUCCUAUGGGGUCUGAGGGGGUCUUAUGGGGGUCCUAUGGGGUCUGAGGGGGUCUUAUGGGGGUCCUAUGAAGUCCUGUGGGGUCCUAUGGGGGUUCUAUGGGGUCUUAUGGGGUCUGAGAGGGUCUUAUGGGGUCCUAUGGGGUCUGUGGGGGUCUUAUGGGGGUCCUAUGGGGUCCUAUGGGGCCUGAGGGGGUCUUAUGGGGGUCCUAUGGGGUCCUAUGGGGUCUGAGAGGGUCUUAUGGGGUCCUAUGGGGUCUUAUGGGGUCCUGUGUGGUCUUAUGGGGUCCUAUGGGGUCUUAUGGGGUCUGAGGGGGUCUUAUGGGGGUCUUAUGGGGUUCCUAUGGGGUCUUAUGGGGGUCCUAUGGGGUCCUAUGAGGUCUGAGGGGAUCUUAUGGGGGUCCUAUGGGGUCUGAGGGGGUCUUAUGGGGUCCUAUGGGGCCCUAUGGGGUCUGAGGGGGUCUUAUGGGGUCCUAUGGGGUCUGAGGGGGUCUUAUGGGGGUCCUAUGGGGUCUUAUGGGGUUCCCUUUCCCCCCCCCCAUAUAGGACCCCAGCCCAUCCCCCCCCUGCCUCCCGGGGGGGGCAGCGGAACCGGAACCGGACAGUGGGUUGGGCCGAACCGACGAGAGCACGAGGAACGAGGAGAGCUCGGAACACGACCUGCUAUUGGGGGAGGGGGACGAGGGACCCCCCCCCAGAGCCCACCCCCCCCCACCUUUAAGCCCCCCCCCCUUCAUAUACCCCUCAAUGGAAAAACGGGUCCCGAUACUACUGAAGCACCCCCCCCAUAUAGGGACCACCCCCCCUCCAUAGAAGCACAUGGGGGUCCCUAAAUUUGGGCCGUUUUGGGGCAUUUUGGGCUCAUUUGGGGCCAUUUUUAUCUCCUCCCCCCCGCCCCCGAGCGAUACGGUUUCGUAGUUGUGGGGGGGGGUUCCUUGUGCCCCCCCCCCAUAUUGUCUCGUCUGUGUUCUGAGGUUUAUGCGGUGCGGGGGGGGUCGGGGGUCUGUUGGGGGUCAAUAAAAGCAGCGACUGGUUCCUUUGUAUUCCUUUC